CCUACGGGAGGCAGCAGUGAGGAAUAUUGGUCAAUGGACGAGAGUCUGAACCAGCCAAGUAGCGUGAAGGAUGACUGCCCUAUGGGUUGUAAACUUCUUUUAUAUGGGAAUAAAAUGUUCCACGUGUGGGAUUUUGUAUGUACCAUAUGAAUAAGGAUCGGCUAACUCCGUGCCAGCAGCCGCGGUAAUACGGAGGAUCCGAGCGUUAUCCGGAUUUAUUGGGUUUAAGGGGCGCGUAGGUGGAUUGUUAAGUCAGUUGUGAAAGUUUGCGGCUCAACCGUAACAUUGCAGUUGAAACUGGCAGUCUUGAGUACAGUAGAGGUGGGCGGAAUUCGUGGUGUAGCGGUGAAAUGCUUAGAUAUCACGAAGAACUCCGAUUGCGAAGGCAGUUCACUGGACUGCAACUGACACUGAGGCUCGAAAGUGUGGGUAUCAAACAGGAUUAGAUACCCCUGUAGUC
RNAcentral lists this ribosomal RNA (460 nucleotides) under uncultured bacterium. Its description in RNAcentral is "partial 16S ribosomal RNA". It matches the Rfam family "Bacterial small subunit ribosomal RNA", at positions 338 to 795 of the family's 1533-position model. The record is from RNAcentral.